RNAcentral lists this ribosomal RNA (372 nucleotides) under uncultured bacterium. Its description in RNAcentral is "bacterial SSU rRNA". It matches the Rfam family "Bacterial small subunit ribosomal RNA", at positions 28 to 402 of the family's 1533-position model. The record is from RNAcentral.
GACGAACGCUGGCGGCGUGCUUAACACAUGCAAGUCGAGCGGUAAGGCCCUUUCGGGGGUACACGAGCGGCGAACGGGUGAGUAACACGUGGGUGACCUGCCCUUAGCUCUGGGAUAAGCCUGGGAAACUGGGUCUAAUACCGGAUAUGACUCCAUGACGCAUGUUGUGGGGUGGAAAGCCUUGUGCGGCUAGGGAUGGGCCCGCGGCCUAUCAGCUUGUUGGUGGGGUGAUGGCCACCAAGGCGACGACGGGUAGCCGGCCUGAGAGGGCGACCGGCCACACUGGGACUGAGACACGGCCCAGACUCCUACGGGAGGCAGCAGUGGGGAAUCUUGCGCAAUGGGCGAAAGCCUGACGCAGCGACGCCGCGU